GACGAACGCUGGCGGCGGGCUUAACACAUGCCAGUCGAACGGAAAGGCCCUGCUUUUGUGGGGUGCUCGAGUGGCGAACGGGUGAGUAACACGUGAGUAACCUGCCCUUUACUUUGUGAUAACUUCAGGAAACUGGGGCUAAUACCGGAUAGGAGCUCCUGCUGCAUGGGGGGGGUUGGACAUUUUCGGCUGUUGUGGAUGGACUCGGGGCUUAUCAGCUGGUUGGUGGGGGAGUGGCUUACCAAGGCUUUGGCGGGUAGCCCGCACGGGAGGGUGAACGGCGACAUGGGGCCUGCGAUACGGCCCAGACUCCUACGGGAGGCAGCAGUGGGGAGUAUUGCACAAUGGGCGGAAGCGUGAUGCAGCAACGCCGCGUGCGGGAUGACGGCCUUCGGGUUGUAAACCGCUUUAGCCUGUGACGAAGCGUGAGUGACGGUAAUGGGUAAAGAAGCACCGGCUAACUACGUG
This 468-nucleotide ribosomal RNA is filed under the name uncultured bacterium. RNAcentral's name for it is "partial 16S ribosomal RNA". It matches the Rfam family "Bacterial small subunit ribosomal RNA", at positions 28 to 507 of the family's 1533-position model. The record is from RNAcentral.